ACGUCAGCGCAACAGUUGAGUGGUUGCCAGGUUGAGUAUUUUCCCGCUGAUUGUGAGAUUAUAAAAUAACUAACUUAGUGAUCAAACAGUUUAACGUUGGUUAAAGGUGAUAUUUAUGUUUUAUUUGGAUGAUGAACGGAUGGUUUUUGGGGCAUUUCUGUGGAUAGUCAACAUAUUUCAUGCGGAGAAUCGUCGGUUGUAUCUGGCAACCAGCUAGAGUCAGGAACAAAGCAGUGAAAUGGAGGACGGACAGAGCUGGAUGAUGACUACCGUUAAACUAGAAGAAGAAGAAGAAAUAUUAUGAAGGGAAGUGAAGCUGAGUAUGAGUAAGACGGACAGUGAUGAUGAUGAUGAUGAAGGCUGCAGGAGGAAAGCUGUGCUGGAGGAGCUUCGUCAUCCCGACCAUGUGUGGGACGGAAUGUUUGCUCCAAAGAUGGAGAAAAGCGGAGAAGAAGAAACGGAGGAGUUUUCAGAUGUGUGCUCUGUGAAGGAAGAGUGUGUAAGUUCUUGAUGGUGGAGAUGCAGGAGGCACUGGAGAGGACAGGUCGGUCCAAGGAGGUGCUGGAGUUGGGGGAGGUGCUGGACACGGGCAAGAAUAGAUGCAAUAUUAAAUAGUACACGUUGUAAGAACACACUCAUCAACCAUAAUUAUCCUUAAAUAGCUUUAGAAUGCUUAGGAUUUUAAAGCAUUGCAUCGUGGGUAGUUGAUGAUCUGUGUGUUGAUGUU
This 727-nucleotide long non-coding RNA is filed under the name Gouania willdenowi (blunt-snouted clingfish). RNAcentral's name for it is "lncRNA (ENSGWIG00000004207.1)". The record is from RNAcentral. Lineage: Eukaryota; Metazoa; Chordata; Actinopteri; Blenniiformes; Gobiesocidae.